This 357-nucleotide ribosomal RNA is filed under the name uncultured bacterium. RNAcentral describes it as "bacterial SSU rRNA". It matches the Rfam family "Bacterial small subunit ribosomal RNA", at positions 28 to 334 of the family's 1533-position model. The record is from RNAcentral.
GAUGAAUGCUGGCGGCGUGCCUAAUACAUGCAAGUCGAGCGGUAACAGGGAGUUCCACCGUUUCCUUGACACACCUAGCGCUUUAUCGUAGGUUGUGAAAACUUCGAGGGAACUGUGGAAUUCUGCUGACGAGCGGCGGACGGCUGAGUAACACGUGGGAACGGACCCCAAACUGAGGGAUAACUAGUCGAAAGAUUAGCUAAAUACCGCAUAUGAUCUUCGGAUUAAAGCUUUCGAGCGGUUUGGGACUGGCCUGCGCACGAUUAGAUAGUUGGUAGGGUAAUGGCCUACCAAGUCGACGAUCGUUAGAUGGUUUGAGAAGAUGAUCAUCCAGACUGGGACUGAGACACGGCCCAG